This 492-nucleotide ribosomal RNA is filed under the name uncultured bacterium. RNAcentral describes it as "partial 16S ribosomal RNA". It matches the Rfam family "Bacterial small subunit ribosomal RNA", at positions 29 to 507 of the family's 1533-position model. The record is from RNAcentral.
AGUGAACGCUGGCGGUAGGCCUAACACAUGCAAGUCGAACGGCAGCACAGUAAGAGCUUGCUCUUACGGGUGGCGAGUGGCGGACGGGUGAGGAAUACAUCGGAAUCUACUUUUUCGUGGGGGAUAACGUAGGGAAACUUACGCUAAUACCGCAUACGACCUACGGGUGAAAGCAGGGGAUCUUCGGACCUUGCGCGAUUGAAUGAGCCGAUGUCGGAUUAGCUAGUUGGCGGGGUAAAGGCCCUCCAGGGCGACGAUCCGUAGCUGGUCUGAGAGGAUGAUCAGCCACACUGGAACUGAGACACGGUCCAGACUCCUACGGGAGGCAGCAGUGGGGAAUAUUGGACAAUGGGCGCAAGCCUGAUCCAGCCAUACCGCGUGGGUGAAGAAGGCCUUCGGGUUGUAAAGCCCUUUUGUUGGGAAAGAAAAGCAGCAGGUUAAUACCCCGCUGUUCUGACGGUACCCAAAGAAUAAGCACCGGCUAACUUCGUG